Molecule: long non-coding RNA, 1154 nt
Organism: Bos taurus (domestic cattle)
Lineage: Eukaryota; Metazoa; Chordata; Mammalia; Artiodactyla; Bovidae
Source: Ensembl
AGCACAGACACUUCACCCAAAGGAGGAUUUGAAGUUUCAACAUCCUGUGUCUUAUCUCUGAACACUGACCAUCACUCAGGCAGCCACCCAGCAGGCUGAGGCGCCAAGCAGGUGAUGCCCUUCAGGGUGAUUUCCUUUUGAAGUGCUCAGAAAGGAUUUUUAAAAAUCAAAGAAGAAAACAUCUUGAAAAAAUUGGCUGCUGGUGGUACUGUCUCUUCCAAGUUGACAUCAUCAAUCAACCAACAGUGUAGGAGAACUGUCAAAUUCCAGCAGCACGAGGGACAAGAGAAACAGACACCUGGAAAAUGGGAAGCCGCUCUACAGCACAGCUGGAGCCGUGGGGCUGUGAUUCGCCGGGAGAGAAUUUAAUGGGGUUCGGGCUCAAAAAAUUUAAAAAAAAAGCCAGUUGAAAAUGGUAUGCACAGAGAAAGUCUCAACAAAGACUAAACAGACAAUUUUGAAUUGUUUUCCCUGCAAGGUAUGUGGGAUCUUAGCUUCCUCAACCAGCGAUCAAACCCACAACCCCUGCAUUGGAAGGUGAAGUUUUACCCACUGGACCAUCAGAGGAGUCCCAGGCCCAGAUAGUUAAUGUGACUCCUCCUUGGAGGUUUCCAGAGGAACAGUGGAAGGAUAGAGGAAGGACAAAAUCAUUUCUUCUUCUUCUUGUUUCCUAUUCUUUUCAUCAUUCCUCUGGCAACACUACUCCUCAAUCCAUGAUCAGCAUAUUGUACCUGUAGUAGCAACUGUUUUGAGUAUGCAGGUCUAUAACAUUUUCAUAAGCAGAAUCACUGGCUCUCUCAGAGCACCAGCCAGGUGACAUUCCCUUCUUAAAAGUCUCAGCAUCAGUUCCAAUGGGGACCUCGUCGUUUGUUCAUAGUAAUUCCAAUCUCAUCGCUCGUUGUCUCCUAGCCCUAGAGGUGGUAGUUGAUCCUAUAGCUAUUUGCUACUUGGUGAUAUUAAGUGGUCAAUAGUUGCCUUUUCUACUCUCCAGUACUUAGUUAAUAAUAAUUUCUAAAUUAAUUUGUAUUAGAGUAUAGUUGCUUUACAAUGUUGCAUUAGUUUCUGUGAGGUGUGCUUAGUUACUCAGUCAUGUCCAACUCUUUGGGACUCCAUGGACUGCAGCCUGCCAGGCUCCUCUGUCCAUGGAGAAUCUC